GUUGGGGGGGCGGCGCCUGAGGAGGCUGGGGGGGAGUCUGAGGGGGAGGCAAGAGGAUGGGAGGACCCUCUUGUGUUUUGUGACGGGAGAGAAUGGAGGGACCACCCCGUCUUUUCUGAGGGGAGAACGAGGGGAUCCUCCUGUCAUCCAUGAGGAGAGAGAACGGGGGGACCCCCUGUGACUUCAGGGGAGAGAAAUGGGGGACCCCCUUGUGUUCUCUGAGGGGAGAGAAAUGAGUGACCCCCCCCCACUCGUAUACUUUUAGGAGAUAAUGGAGAAAUCUUAAUAUUUUCUUUAUAGAAAGAAUGGGGGAAUCUUUCUCUGUUCUGUGAUGGGAGAGGAGUGGGACCUUCCUGUGAUUUCUGAGGGGAAAAGGGACGGGAUCGUUCUGUGUUGGGUGAGGGGAGAGAAUGGGGGGACCCCCUGAGCUGUCUGAGGUGACGGGGGGUGCAGGAGGCCACUGCUCAGGUGUGGGGACAGGUGGCUGUUGGGACAGGUGGGAUGGGGGGUCUGAGGCGUCUCCCUGGGCAGGAAAGGUGGGGGAUCACCGCUGGGACAGGGUAGGGGGGCUCAGGGUCAGCCCCCAAGCAGAGCUGAGCAGGUGGAAAAGAGGAAAAGCAGCAGGAAAAGAGGAAAAGCAGCAGGAAAAGAGGAAAAGCAGCAGGAAAAGAACAUUGAGGAGCACAGCACCCACGUGGAGCCGGUUCCUGGAGCACUUCCCUUCCCCCCCGGAACCCCAAAUCCGUCCCGCCCCGAGCUCCUGGGGGGCAGCAGGAGUUUUUUGGGGGGCAGGCCUGGAGGACUCAAGUCUGCUGCUGCUUUCACACAGAGGCCUGGACCCGCCGGUGGGUGGAAUCCAAGCACAAACCCGACUACGGGCGCUUCGUCCUCACCGCCGGCAAAUUUUACGGCGACGCCGAGAAGGACAAAGGGAUCCAGACGAGCCAGGACGCCCGGUUCUACGCCCUCUCCUCGCGCUUCGAGCCCUUCAGCAACCGCGACAAGACGCUGGUGGUGCAGUUCACCGUCAAGCACGAGCAGAACAUCGACUGCGGCGGCGGCUACGUCAAGCUCUUCCCGGCCAGCCUGAGCCAGGAGGACAUGCACGGCGACUCCGAGUACAACAUCAUGUUUGGUGGGUGUUCCUCCUCUUCCUCGGCCCCCCUC
Molecule: long non-coding RNA, 1167 nt
Filed under: Cyanistes caeruleus (blue tit)
Lineage: Eukaryota; Metazoa; Chordata; Aves; Passeriformes; Paridae
Description: lncRNA (ENSCCEG00000003587.1)
Source: RNAcentral